RNAcentral lists this ribosomal RNA (301 nucleotides) under uncultured bacterium. RNAcentral's name for it is "partial 16S ribosomal RNA". It matches the Rfam family "Bacterial small subunit ribosomal RNA", at positions 509 to 807 of the family's 1533-position model. The record is from RNAcentral.
CAGCAGCCGCGGGAAUACAGAUGGUGCGAGCGUUAAUCGGAUUUACUGGGCGUAAAGCGUGCGUAGGCGGCUUCUUAAGUCGGAUGUGAAAUCCCUGAGCUUAACUUAGGAAUUGCAUUCGAUACUGGGAAGCUAGAGUAUGGGAGAGGAUGGUAGAAUUCCAGGUGUAGCGGUGAAAUGCGUAGAGAUCUGGAGGAAUACCGAUGGCGAAGGCAGCCAUCUGGCCUAAUACUGACGCUGAGGUACGAAAGCAUGGGGAGCAAACAGGAUUAGAUACCCCAGUAGUCCCUGUCUCUUAUAC